This is a long non-coding RNA of Bos taurus (domestic cattle), 1531 nucleotides long. Lineage: Eukaryota; Metazoa; Chordata; Mammalia; Artiodactyla; Bovidae. The record is from Ensembl.
UGCAUAUGGGACGCAGACAGGGAAGUUGACUGCCUGUGCAUAGGUACAGUGUAGGUCACUGUGUCUUUUCACCUGCUUGGGUGCCCCCAGGUGAUGGAGAGCUCAGGAAAUCAGGUCUUCAGGCUUGUUACUGGCAAUUCAGCCACCUCCUCAAGCCCUGCCGACACCAGGUUUAAAUUCAGACAGUGGCAGGCACUCGAAGCCAGUGAGGCCCCUGGGAUGAUUCCUCGUGAAAUGAAGGCGUUCGUGGUCAGCCGUGGUGAAGAAGUGUCAGGGCUUGCAAAGGGGGCUGAGUACUCAGGCAGACCUGUGUCAUACCCCUAGCUCCACCACUAAUUAGCUGCAUACCCCUAAUGAAGUUCUUUAACCUCUCUAAACCUCAGUCUCCCAUCUUUAAAACAGGAGUUGUAACGCUCCCCUCGCAGAAUGGCAUUGAAGAUUAAGUUAGAUAAAGUGGUCAGGCCACUCAAGAUGACUGUUUUCAUGCUCUGUGUGCAUUCCUGGCUCUACCAGCAUCUGCUUCACCUACACCCUACUCAAAUGACUGGCCUUCCCCUAUACCUGCCCCAGCCACUGAUCCUUCUAACCUUUAGAUCAGAAUAUCUUCACCUGUUGGCUUAUUAAAGGAGUGGUGAGGGGCCUGCCCCUCUGCUGAUCUCCCUGGUAACUGAUGAGCCAACCUGAAGUAAUUCUCUCAAUAACUAGUAACCUCCCCUUCCCCCAGAAGUCAUGAAGACUGCUGCCCUGUCCUGCCGUCAUCUGCCGCACCCUCUGGGUGUCGCUUCAGAACCUGGCUUCAGACGUGGCCGUCAGCUGCCUGAGAUUCAGAUUACAGAUGCCACAUCACCAGCCCCCAAAGCACCAGCCUGGGACCUUUGUCCAUCAUCCAUGUCACCCAGUCAUCGGGUAGAAGGAAAAAGACAAGCAUAUUUGCCAAUUUAUCCAAGUCUUCUAGGCCGCUGGGGACAUUUCCAGAUACCCCUUGAUUCUGGUCUUGUGAAACUUUCCAGAAAGAUGGCUGAGGCUGGCUUUCCUCCCUGCAGCCUGAGCUCUCAAUCUGGCACAGUGUCUGCUACCAUCUCUCCUCCAGGGCAUGUUCUUGUGUCUGGAGGAGUGAGAGGUGCAUCAGAAGAACCAAGACCAGCCACAGCGAAACACAGCAGCCCUCCCCUGGUCUGCCAGAGCAAUAAGCCAAGUUUGUUUGGCUCCAGACUGUCCAGUUUUGCCCACCCAUUGGGGGCUUUGCUGGGGGGAGGGCAGAGCUGGGCUACUGUAGGAGAGAGUGCAUUCAUUCACAAGUCAAUAGAGGACAUUCCCUGGAUGCUGGGGCCAGAGCUAAGCACUGGUGCAAAGGUGUGAGAGACAAUGUCUUCUCAAGGAGAGUAUGGAGCUUCUUCCUUGUGGAAGAAGAAGCCCUCAGACUCUGGGCCUAUGCACCACAUCCACCUCAGCCCCUUCUCCUCACUCUGUCAGCCUUUCUCCUCUGGACCUUUCCAGUCUAAGUGCCUCCAACUGCCAAGGGGUGUAGGUU